AAUCUUGGAGUUAAUCCUACAACAAGAUAUAUUGCAAUUCAUUAUUAUUUCAUAAAAGAAAAAUCAAACCUGGAUAAAUCAAUCUUCAAUAGGUGCCAACUAUGGAGCAAGUAGCUGAUAUAUUUACAAAGCCACUUGGGCAGACUUUAUUUGAAAAAUUUAGUGAGAGACUAAUUGUAAUCAAUACCUUUAGUCGUACUAGAUGAAAAAAGAAAAAGAAAAAGAAAAAAAAUGCUACUAGUCCAUACAUAUCAGCUUAAAAUAUAAUUCUCAACAUCUAACCUAUUUCGAAAUGCCUUAAAUUUCGUCCCUCUCAAACCCUUAACUUCAAUUUCACAAGCUAUCCAAGAAUCAUAAACUCUAGGGUGAAAUCCACACUUCACCGCAUAGUACAUACUGCUGUGAGGUACCAAACACUUCUCAGAUACUCCACUGGCACUGGAGGUACAGUGAAGGAAAUGGUGCACCCGUAAGAUGAGCAGGGAUCAAAGAAUUAGCAGAAAGCUCAAAUGAGUCCACAGAAGAAACUUUCUCAACUCCGUCACGACCAAGAUCAUAAGUCGGAGCAGUAAAAAGCCGGCUCUCCAACUUUCACAACAACCACUCGCAGACACUUGCUACGAACGAGAGCAAAGCCCAAAUGACAACCCAGAAGGUUCUAAUUUGCAAGAUCAAAGUAACCUAUCAUCAGAAGAAAUACAAAACAAAAAAAAGGGAAAUGACGAAAAAUGACAACUGAAUUCACCGGCGCAUCUCGACAGUUCUCCAGUCUUUGCGCCAUUGCACUAUAUCGCCAAUUCUUUGCCAACGAAUUGCAGAUUUUUUCUCCUAAUGUAGGAAACCCUUGAGAAGCUUAGAAACAGAGUAAUAGAACUAGAGUAAUAGAGAAUAGAAUCUCGGAGGCGAGGGAGGGUGUUAGACAUGCUGGACAUACAGAACAUUACGCCUCCCUUUGUUGAUACCACCAAAACCUAAACAUCAAUAGUUCGGAAGGAGCAUAGUCCUCGACUAGGAUAUCUAUCCAUCCAGGGUAAAUCUAAUGUACUUAACCUUGGCUUAACUAAUCUAUCAUCAGUCGGCUUAUCACCUGUAGUGGGGUGAUCUCUGGAGUCUCUGUUUGAAUUAUGGUGUACAGUGUCG
RNAcentral lists this long non-coding RNA (1140 nucleotides) under Physcomitrium patens. RNAcentral's name for it is "long non-coding RNA (PPAT_LNC001923)". The record is from RNAcentral. Lineage: Eukaryota; Viridiplantae; Streptophyta; Bryopsida; Funariales; Funariaceae.